UGGGGAAUAUUGCACAAUGGGCGAAAGCCUGAUGCAGCGACGCCGCGUGAGGGAUGACGGCCUUCGGGUUGUAAACCUCUUUCAGCAGGGACGAAGCGCAAGUGACGGUACAUGCAGAAGAAGCACCGGCUAACUCCGUGCCAGCAGCCGCGGUAAGACGUAGGGUGCAAGCGUUUCCCGGAAUUACUGGGCGUAAAGAGUUCGUAGGCGGUUUGUCGCGUCGUUUGUGAAAACCAGUAGCUCAACUGCUGACUUGCAGGAGAUACGGGCAGACUUGAGUACUGCGGGGGAGACUGGAAUUCCUGGUGUAGCGGUGAAAUGCACAGAUAUCAGGAAGAACACCGGUGGAGAAGGUGGGUCUCGGGGCAAUAACUAACGCUGAGGAUCGAGAGCGUGGGUAGCGAACAGG
RNAcentral lists this ribosomal RNA (409 nucleotides) under Bacillota bacterium. RNAcentral's name for it is "Firmicutes bacterium partial 16S ribosomal RNA". It matches the Rfam family "Bacterial small subunit ribosomal RNA", at positions 355 to 776 of the family's 1533-position model. The record is from RNAcentral. Lineage: Bacteria; Bacillati; Bacillota.